Molecule: ribosomal RNA, 465 nt
Filed under: uncultured bacterium
Lineage: Bacteria
Description: partial 16S ribosomal RNA
Rfam family: Bacterial small subunit ribosomal RNA
Source: RNAcentral
CCUACGGGAGGCAGCAGUAGGGAAUCUUCCACAAUGGGCGAAAGCCUGAUGUAGCAACGCCGCGUGGGUGAAGAAGGUCUUCGGAUCGUAAAACCCUGUUGUUAGAGAAGAAAGUGCGUGAGAGUAACUGUUCACGUUUCGACGGUAUCUAACCAGAAAGCCACGGCUAACUACGUGCCAGCAGCCGCGGUAAUACGUAGGUGGCAAGCGUUAUCCGGAUUUAUUGGGCGUAAAGGGAACGCAGGCGGUCUUUUAAGUCUGAUGUGAAAGCCUUCGGCUUAACCGGAGUAGUGCAUUGGAGACUGGGAGACUUGAGUGCAGAAGAGGAGAGUGGAACUCCAUGUGUAGCGGUGAAAUGCGUAGAUAUAUGGAAGAACACCAGUGGCGAAAGCGGCUCUCUGGUCUGUAACUGACGCUGAGGUUCGAAAGCGUGGGUAGCAAACAGGAUUAGAUACCCUGGUAGUC